CACGUAGGGCGCAAGCGUUGUCCGGAAUUAUUGGGCGUAAAGAGCUCGUAGGCGGACUGUUGCGUCCGCUGUGAGAAGCUGGGGCUUAACCCUGGCCUUGCAGUGGAUACGGGCAGACUAGAGGUAGGUAGGGGAGAAUGGAAUUCCCGGUGUAGCGGUGAAAUGCGCAGAUAUCGGGAGGAACACCGGUGGCGAAGGCGGUUCUCUGGGCCUUACCUGACGCUGAGGAGCGAAAGCGUGGGGAGCGAACAGG
This 253-nucleotide ribosomal RNA is filed under the name uncultured bacterium. Its description in RNAcentral is "partial 16S ribosomal RNA". It matches the Rfam family "Bacterial small subunit ribosomal RNA", at positions 524 to 776 of the family's 1533-position model. The record is from RNAcentral.